This 208-nucleotide ribosomal RNA is filed under the name uncultured bacterium. RNAcentral's name for it is "partial 16S ribosomal RNA". It matches the Rfam family "Bacterial small subunit ribosomal RNA", at positions 568 to 774 of the family's 1533-position model. The record is from RNAcentral.
CUCGUAGGUGGUUCGGUUAGUCGGAUGUGAAAUCUCCAGGCUCAACCUGGAGGGGUCAUUCGAUACUGCCGUGACUAGAGUUCGGUAGAGGAGUGUGGAAUUCCUGGUGGAGCGGUGAAAUGCGCAGAGAUCAGGAGGAACACCCGUAGCGAAGGCGGCACUCUGGGCCGAUACUGACACUGAGGAGCGAAAGCGUGGGGAGCGAACA